GCCCAUCACUGAUGCGCUCUCACGCAUAUACACGCACGCGGACUAAAAUGCUACACGCCCCCUCCGUCCAUAGGAUCACAUUUUCUGGGAUCUCAUGGACGCAUGAACUUUAGGCAAAGCAAGCCCGAUUUUGGAAAACAUUAGCUCGCGGUGACACAACACAAGAUCACACAUUUGUACUGAUAGGUGUGUUGGAGGAAUGUCAGGAUCGCUGUCAGGUAGUCUAUAAUUAUAAAGGAAAGCCGAUAGCGCUGGUUGAUAUCGAUUUUUACCAGGAUCAGCCGUGCAGAGGAGACGCUCACAGACACAGCAACUCUACAGACAUGUCGGACUCAGAGACCACCGCUCCCGCCGAGGCCCCUGUCCCUGCUGCAUGUGUAACCAUCAAGGCAGACCUGGACAAAUGUGUGAAGGAGGGCGGUGACUGUAAGGACCUGAUGGAGGCGUUUGCAGCCUGUGUGAAAAGUGCAGCGGAGGCGUCGUGAGGAUUGGAGGAAGUCAACUUAAAGGAAAUGUCCACUGCACUGAGUCCUCCACGUUUUCCAGCAUUCCCUUCUGCACAACAAGCACUGGACUGAGUGACACUAGUGUGGUUCGGUGCCUGGCAGAAUCUAUCAAUGUAUCUCCAUCCCACUAACCCUAACCCCUACAACCCCCCCCUGUGAAGCAUAGAAUGCGUCUUCCGAUUUGUACCCUCUGUUCCCUCCAUGGCUGAUAACAUCCAUUUGCAGACACAUCCGGAGAGCCUAUGGGUUUUAUGUCAAUUUAUGUCCACUAGAGAUGCAUAUACAUUUAAAUGGAGUAAUAAAGUCAAAUGUUGGUAUAACA
Long non-coding RNA from Esox lucius (northern pike), 828 nucleotides. Lineage: Eukaryota; Metazoa; Chordata; Actinopteri; Esociformes; Esocidae. The record is from Ensembl.